GAGAAAACAACUGGGAUUGCCCUAGUAACGGCGAGUGAAGCGGCAAUAGCUCAAAUUUGAAAUCUGGGUCCUUUUAGGGCUCCGAGUUGUAAUUUGCAGAGGGUGCUUUGGCGUUGGUAGCGGUCUAAGUUCCCUGGAACAGGACAUCGCAGAGGGUGAGAAUCCCGUUUGUGGUCGCAUGCCUUCGCCGUGUAAAGCCCCUUCGACGAGUCGAGUUGUUUGGGAAUGCAGCUCUAAAUGGGAGGUAAAUUUCUUCUAAAGCUAAAUACUGGCCAGAGACCGAUAGCGCACAAGUAGAGUGAUCGAAAGAUGAAAAGCACUUUGGAAAGAGAGUCAAACAGCACGUGAAAUUGUUGAAAGGGAAGCGCUUGCAGCCAGACUUGCCCGUAGUUGCUCACCUAGGCUUUUGCCUGGGGCAUUCUUCUGCGGGCAGGCCAGCAUCAGUUUGGGCGGUCGGAUAAAGGUCUCUGUCAUGUAGCUUCCUUCGGGAAGAACUUAUAGGGGAGACGAAAUGCGACCAGCCUGGACUGAGGUCCGCGCUUCUGCUAGGAUGCUGGCGUAAUGGCUGUAAGCGGCCCGUCUUGAAACACGGACCAAGGAGUCUAACAUCUAUGCGAGUGUUUGGGUGUCAAGCCCGAGCGCGUAAUGAAAGUGAACGGAGGUGGGAACCCUUUGGGUGCACCAUCGACCGAUCCUGAUGUCUUCGGAUGGAUUUGAGUAAGAGCAUAGCUGUUGGGACCCGAAAGAUGGUGAACUAUGCCUGAAUAGGGUGAAGCCAGAGGAAACUCUGGUGGA
This 795-nucleotide ribosomal RNA is filed under the name uncultured fungus. RNAcentral describes it as "LSU rRNA". It matches the Rfam family "Eukaryotic large subunit ribosomal RNA", at positions 56 to 871 of the family's 3401-position model. Lineage: Eukaryota; Fungi. The record is from RNAcentral.